GGCGUUUGAACUGUGGGGGUGAUGAGGUGAGAAGAGUAGCGGAAGGCGGAACCGAGUCCAAAAUUGACCGAAAAGUGCAAAUCGUGCUGAGCCCUGAUUGAUAAAGAUAGUCAAAUGCGCGCGUCCGCCCUACUAUCGCGAUAAGGGACAAUCUAUUCUUUUCUGCGCGCGCAUUCUGACUUUGCCUCUCGUAUUGUUCUGUCAAACCUAGGUAUAUACGAAAGUAUAUAAUCCAGCAUGUUUAUAAUGCUGGGUAGAGUAUCUAUAAUAAGAGUACGGACAAUAGAGUAAUGAUCAAUGAUUGGUCCGCUAAAUUGAGGCAAAAGCGGAAGUUGCAUAUCCGUAUGUACUAUCAGUGUACGUAUACCAUUUAUACUGUUUCCAGCGAGUUUUGUAUACGUCAAAAUCGUCAAAAGUGAGUGGUUUGUAUAUUGGUCAUUUUAUUUGGCGAGAAGUCAUUUAGAUUGAGAAGAAGGAGAGAGCAAUGUCUGCGGGUGUGUAGCAGAUUGCACAACUAUGCCAAAAAAGUUAUAAAAUGUGUCGUUUUCCACGAAUCUCAGAAAGAAGAAAAAUUUGCGCUAAAAACACAGAAUGAUAAGACUGGACUUCGUCUAAUUCGGAAUUGUUAUGUGAAAUUAGUAAGAAUUUGCUUUUAUGAUUUUUUUAAUUUAAAUAAAUUAUUAAACGAUGUAUAUUAUUCCAAGUACAUUUUGAUGCCACGAAUGUAUUGUUGCCGCGGGAUUAAAGACGCGCCAAGCGCACAUUUGAUGUACUUACGCAUAUUAAAUGUAUCACAGAGGAGACAUUAUUUUAUGUCAAUUCUUCAAGGUUUCAGUUUUUUAAAAGCAUGGAAUCAAUGAUUAAACAAAAUUUGGAAGUUCUUUCAAUUCAAGACAA
Molecule: long non-coding RNA, 897 nt
Organism: Acromyrmex echinatior (Panamanian leafcutter ant)
Lineage: Eukaryota; Metazoa; Arthropoda; Insecta; Hymenoptera; Formicidae
Source: RefSeq, a predicted model, not a curated record